GUGCUCGAUCCAGGAGCACGAAUACUAAAACUGGAACGAUACAGAGAAGAGCACGGCCCCUGUGAAAGAACGACGUGGAAACUCACAAAGAGUUCCACAUUUAA
This 104-nucleotide small nuclear RNA is filed under the name Propithecus coquereli (Coquerel's sifaka). The record is from RNAcentral. Lineage: Eukaryota; Metazoa; Chordata; Mammalia; Primates; Indriidae.